This is a non-coding RNA of Microcebus murinus (gray mouse lemur), 341 nucleotides long. The record is from RefSeq and is a predicted model, not a curated record. NCBI's taxonomy places the organism in Eukaryota, Metazoa, Chordata, Mammalia, Primates, Cheirogaleidae.
CCGGCGUACUCACUUCUCCCCAGUCCCUCCGCUUUCCACGCCGUCUCCUCCACAGCCCCAUAGCGCCUCAGCGGCUUCUCGGCUUCCAGGGCAGUUAUUCUCUGGAAAAGGAUGGACUGGAACUAAAUGAUAAAGACAAAGCCUCAGUGAGGUUUAGUGAUGUUCCCAAAGUCACAUAGCUGAUGCUGGGCAUUGAACCGAGUCCAUGUGACACUAAGGCCUAGGUGGUCAACCACUGAUCUACCCUGCAGUUAAGGCAAGACAUAGGUACAAGCCAGGGGCCAGCACUGGAGUGACUGGCUCAUGAUUUAUGCCAAAUAAAUGAUGUCUAUUUCAUUUUC